UUCAAUUCUCCUCCCUUUAAUAAUAUUUUAUAGCAUUAUCUCAAAGAAAAAAUUAUCAUUUAUGGAGUAUAUGGAUGGAGAGGCGGUUUUGUCUAACAAUUAUUAUCUUCACUAUAAAGAACUGAUACAUAAAUGUAUUAUAUAUUAUAUAUAGUAGAAUGUUAUUUUCUUUUUAGUUUUAUCUUUGAUUUAUUUUAGUUCCUCUAGAGUACUAAUAUUUAUAGUUUU
Molecule: long non-coding RNA, 228 nt
Filed under: Nicotiana benthamiana
Lineage: Eukaryota; Viridiplantae; Streptophyta; Magnoliopsida; Solanales; Solanaceae
Description: long non-coding RNA (NBEN_LNC015645)
Source: RNAcentral